This 621-nucleotide ribosomal RNA is filed under the name Flavobacteriaceae bacterium Ri2Pw_5921. RNAcentral's name for it is "bacterial SSU rRNA". It matches the Rfam family "Bacterial small subunit ribosomal RNA", at positions 391 to 1013 of the family's 1533-position model. The record is from RNAcentral. Lineage: Bacteria; Pseudomonadati; Bacteroidota; Flavobacteriia; Flavobacteriales; Flavobacteriaceae.
GCCAUGCCGCGUGCAGGAUGACGGUCCUAUGGAUUGUAAACUGCUUUUGUACAGGAAGAAACACUGGUUCGUGAACCAUCUUGACCGUACUGUUACAAUAAGGAUCGGCUAACUCCGUGCCAGCAGCCGCGGUAAUACGGAAGAUCCGAGCGUUAUCCGGAAUCAUUGGGUUUAAAGGGUCCGAAGGCGGUUUAAUAAGUCAGUGGUGAAAGCCCAUCUCUCAACGGUGGAACGGCCAUUGAUACUGUUAAACUUGAAUUAUUAGGAAGUAACUAGAAUAUGUAGUGUAUCGGUGAAAUGCUUAUAGAUUACAUGGAAUACCAAUUGCGAAUGCAGGUUACUACUAAUUGAUUGACGCUGAUGGACGAAAGCGUGGGUAGGGAACACGAUUACAUACCCUGGUAGUCCACGCCGUACACGAUGGAUACUACCUGUUGGACCCACUUUCACUGGCUAAUCGAAAGUGAUAAAUAUCCCACCUGGGGAGUACAUUCGCAAGAAUGAAACUCAAAGGAAUUGACCGGGGCCCGCACAAGCUGUGGAGCAUGUGGUUUAAUUCAAUGAUACGCGAGGAACCUUACCAAGGCUUAUAUGUAGAUUGACCGGUUUGGAAACAGAUCU